UCUUUCUUUAAGACAAAACUCGUCUCAUGCUAACUAUUUGAGAAUUGAAGGAAGAAGUUUGUGAUCUCAAUUCUAAGCUUGAUGGCAUGAUCAAGUUUGUUUGCAUGUUGAAUUCUGAAACUUGAAGCCUUUAUGAAAUUAUAGGUAUGGUAAAAUCAUCAAAUGACAUGAAGAGAAUUGGAUAUAUUGGUGAUUCAUCCAAUUCAAAGAAUAUGUUUGUUACACCUGUUCAGAAAACAAAAUUCACAAUGUAUGGUUA
This 259-nucleotide long non-coding RNA is filed under the name Lathyrus oleraceus (garden pea). RNAcentral describes it as "Pisum sativum (pea) long non-coding RNA (PSAT_LNC013392)". Lineage: Eukaryota; Viridiplantae; Streptophyta; Magnoliopsida; Fabales; Fabaceae. The record is from RNAcentral.